Long non-coding RNA from Cyprinus carpio carpio, 3391 nucleotides. NCBI's taxonomy places the organism in Eukaryota, Metazoa, Chordata, Actinopteri, Cypriniformes, Cyprinidae. The record is from Ensembl.
CUUUGGACUAUGAGUCCUCUGCAAACAGCUGGUGACUGAAAAUGAUUUACCAGACCUUCAGAUGAAUUAGUCAGACUAUCAUCAUGAAACAGAAGCUGUGACUGAAAUUUCAGAAUGACUAUCGAACAAGAAAAAAAAAAAACCGACCUGCCUCCUUCCUUCUCUCAUGCCUGUGGUCCCUUUCUGGUCACCUGGAAAUGCUCUCCUGAUCCACUGUUUGCUAGAGCAGCAGGAAUGACCAUUAUCCACCACGGAUCACAAAGAAAGGCCUGCAAACUCCGGAUACCGAGUGAGAGUGAGAAAAAGGGAAAGAAGAGAAAGAAAGAGAGAGGGUCACACUUCUCUGACAUGCAUUCAUCCGAUGGGUCGUUUCAUCCCUGAAAAACAAAAACACCACACAAGAAAAGCAAAACUGGAAACCUGCAGGAAGGAAAAAAGAAAUCCAACCAGGGGGGAAUAAGCAGCAAUUUAACCUCACACACAGACACACACACACAAACAGAUGUACGCACACAUACUUGAUGUCGCAUGAAAGCCAUCAUAAACUCAAGCUCUCUCUCCCCCUCUCACUCUGAACUGUGUGAUAAAUGUUUAAUUAGGAGACUAAUUGUGUGUAUAAUUAACAGUCAUCAAUCUCAUAACAUCGGAGAGUAAUCAUCAGCUAAUGCUAUCUGAUGUGUACUCUCUCUCUCUCUCUCUCUCUCUCUCUCUCUCACACACACACACACACACAUGCAAGCACCCCUGCACAUGAACUCACACCAAAAUAUGCCAUGCAUAUUUAAUGUGAUUUAAAUACCCAUUAACACUCUAUUAUUUCACUUUAUAAGGAAUAAAUUGUAAAUUAUAAAUUUAAAUUUUUUAAGAAAAUAUGAGUGGUGGUUGCCAUGCAAAUCUUGUUGCCAUAUGCUAAGAUUUGGUGGUGGUUGCUAGGGCACUGCAAUGCAUUUGCUAUGCUGCAUGAAUCUUUUUUUGUAUUGCAAUGAAAUUGCCUACUGGUUCAGGUCCCUACUUCAUGCAGACCUAUAGCUAUUUAAAUUCAUCGUCCAUAAAGCAAUAAAACAAGUGUGAUCACUUAGAAAAGCUUUAGCAAACACCACUAAUUAAUUAUAAUUAUAUGUCUGUAUCUUGACCUGAUUGUUCACUGGAUUUACCAUAAGGUCAAACUCAAGAAAACAUAAAAUGAAAUGUACUUGUAAUGCAUGAUUAGCAUCAAGACACAUCACUGUAUGCUAUGAUCUUAGAAAAAAUGAAAAGCAUUUUUUUUUAGUGUAAUUGCCUUUAAGAUAGAUGUUUUAAAUAAACUUUUUAAUAGCUUUGCCACAUAUGGUGGUAAAGACUGUAAUAUUCUAAGCAUUUGAGAUGUUUUCUUAAGUGCUUUUUUUUUUUUUUUUUUGCAAAGUGAGGAUCACACAGCAACUGAAUUUUGCAUGUAAAUCUCACUACACAUGUCAAAAAUGUACACAACUUAUACUGUCAAAUAUGACAGGAGAGUGACAUCCUUAAAUUAUUCCCUAGACACGGUCGUGGCACACAAGCACACUGUCUGCAGAUGAUGAAAGAAAAUAAAAAAACAUGCUAACGGAGUAAUGGCGGAUACAGAUUAGGAGAAGUCAGAUUAUGUCAAUGUCAGAACAUAGAUCUGGAUAUACUGAACUGCUUUAAUGCAGCCAUGUCUGUUUGGUCCAUUAUAAGUCUCUACACACACACAAACAUGCACACACAUGGUCAAAGACAUACAUGGUUUUACUAUGAUACCAGAUACUCCUGAAUGUCAGAUAAGAUCCUUCUGAAUUUCCCCUCAAGGAUUUAUAAAACACCUUUACCUGUGUAUCUGUGAGUGAUAUGUAGCCUCAGUGGGUCAUGUGUUGUUUACACACUUGUAGAAAUGACCACUACUUGUCAACAAAGCAAAUAUAUUCAAAGAAAUAUUGUGGAUGCAAUCGUACAAAAUUAGAUACACAUAGAAAUUGUACACAUAGAAAAAUGCAGAAUGUGACUAGGUUUCUGACUAUUUGUGCUUCAGAAAACUGAUCAACUUUUUAAAAUCUUUAUGAUUCAAACAGAUACAUUUAUUUAUUUGUCUUUAUAAGUAAGCAAUUUCAUUUCAUUCCAUAGUUUUUAUGUUCGUGCCUACAUCUGCCUUGUCAAGAAUAAUUGUUGGGAAAAAUAUUCUUGACACAAAAUGUUGUUCUUGACACUAUAAAAAAUGUAACUUUAAAUGUAGACGGGGCCAAUGAUUUUUGCUAAUUAAAGUUAUUAUUAGCAAUUUUAGCUGACAUUCAACCUUGUAAUAUUACUAUCCAUCUAAAAAUGUGACACAUCACAAAGCAUGUUUUGACAUUAUAAUGUUGUGGGAUGUUUUUUGAUUUAUUUUAAAAGGGUCAUAUGAUGCUGCUAAAAAGAACAUUAUUGUGUGUAUUUGGUGUAAUGAAAUGUGUUUAUGCAGUUUGAGGUUAAAAAAAAACACAUUAUUUUCCACAUACUGUACAUUAUUGUUUCUCCUCUAUGCCCCGCCUUCUGAAGCGCAUUGAUUUUAACAAGGCUUAUCACUCUGAAAAGCGAGGUGUGCUGUGAUUGGCCAGCUAUCCAGUGCGUUGUGAUUGGCCAAAUGCCUCAAGUGUGUGACGGAAAUGUUACGCCCCUUAACAUAUUGUGAUGCCUCUGAUCAGCUCCAGGCAUGACGAAGCGGAUAUCAUCCUCUUUUAGGCCAAACAAAGCAGUUUCGCUUUCACAGUGAAACACACAGCGUCUAUAUGACAUGGCGGCGGCGGCAACAACAACAAUACUACAACAAGAAUAAAAGGUACACCUUCUUUCUUUGCGUGAACAUCUGGACGGUGUUCUGCAAAUCUUCCCACAAACUGACACAGAUAUGUGGGGGCGUGUUAGAACGAGCUGUUUCAGGGGGGUGUGGACGAGUCUUAACUUUUAUAAAGAAUAUCUCUUUGGAUUUGAGACUUUAGUCUUUGCAACUUCACAGAUCUUCUUUAUGCACCAAGAGAUUGUAACACUCCAAAGAGAAAGGAAAAAUUGAAAUCGCAUCAUAUAACCCCUUCAAAACACACACAUAUAGGCUAUAACAACUUCAAAUGAAAUUGUAAAAUUUUGAAAUUUUCAGGCAUCAAUGGCAUAGUUUUUUUAAUAUUUCUCAAAUAUCUCCGUUGUUUCUCUUAGAAAGAAAUGCAAUUAAAUAGAGAUCAAAUAAAGAUUUGGCUUAAAUGUCUUGUCCUGACACUAAGAGCCCAAUAAAUGCCAAGGUAAAAAGUGUGAAUAUGAACCAAUAUGAACUCAAACAUUCAUCAUCAAAGACCAAAACACCUCCACUGUACUUGCUACAUGCCAAAAAUUGACAUUUUUUUUAAUAGACAAUAGUAGAUACAAAACUAAG